GUGAUGAUGAGAUACAGCAUUCCCGAGCAGCAAAUCCUUUCAUUAGGUACUCUCCAGCACCACUGACACAGCAUCCCACCAUAAAUGGAGCUCCAAAAGGUCCCCUUGACGAUGCCCAACAACCGGAACCAUACAUCGCUGCUAGACCUACGCGCCCACUUAUCUUCAGUGCUAUCCCACCGCUAGAGCUUCCACAAGCCAUAUGUCCUUUCGAAUCGAGACAGAUAACCCCAACAGUGUCUGAAAUUAAGUCUUCAUCUAAUGCAUCGAGCAAGGAGAUUUGGUCACCCACUCCAUCUCCCCUGAAUUGAUCAGAUGGUUGGCUCUCAGAUGUUGUAUUAGUCUCCUUAGCAUUGGUCAUCUUUAUGUUAGGAGAAUCAUUUACAGCUUUGGCAUCAUCAAGC
Molecule: unclassified non-coding RNA, 404 nt
Filed under: Hevea brasiliensis (rubber tree)
Lineage: Eukaryota; Viridiplantae; Streptophyta; Magnoliopsida; Malpighiales; Euphorbiaceae
Source: RNAcentral